Molecule: transfer RNA, 21 nt
Filed under: Serinus canaria (Common canary)
Lineage: Eukaryota; Metazoa; Chordata; Aves; Passeriformes; Fringillidae
Also listed under: 45 other names
Description: partial tRNA-Met
Source: RNAcentral
GUUCAACUCCUUCCCCUGCUA